AUACCUUUCUCGGCCUUUUGGCUAAGAUCAAGUGUAGUAUCUGUUCUUAUCAGUUUAAUAUCUGAUAUGUGGGUCAUUGAUUCACACGAUAUUAACUUAAUUUUUUAAGGGGGAAGGUCCAUUAAAGUAGCUUGCUACUUGGGUCUUCGUGCGUCGCCUAGGUGUUGCACUAUAGCCUUGGCCUGGCGCAGCCCAC
Solanum verrucosum is the source of this 196-nucleotide small nuclear RNA. RefSeq annotates it as U2 spliceosomal RNA. The transcript has a single exon. NCBI's taxonomy places the organism in Eukaryota, Viridiplantae, Streptophyta, Magnoliopsida, Solanales, Solanaceae. The record is from RefSeq and is a predicted model, not a curated record.